GACGAACGCUGGCGGCGUGCUUAACACAUGCAAGUCGAACGGAAAGGCCCUGCUUUUGUGGGGUGCUCGAGUGGCGAACGGGUGAGUAACACGUGAGUAACCUGCCCUUGACUUUGGGAUAACUUCAGGAAACUGGGGCUAAUACCGGAUAGGAGCUCCUGCUGCAUGGUGGGGGUUGGAAAGUUUCGGCGGUUGGGGAUGGACUCGCGGCUUAUCAGCUUGUUGGUGGGGUAGUGGCUUACCAAGGCUUUGACGGGUAGCCGGCCUGAGAGGGUGACCGGCCACAUUGGGACUGAGAUACGGCCCAGACUCCUACGGGAGGCAGCAGUGGGGAAUAUUGCACAAUGGGCGGAAGCCUGAUGCAGCAACGCCGCGUGCGGGAUGACGGCCUUCGGGUUGUAAACCGCUUUCGCCUGUGACGAAGCGUGAGUGACGGUAAUGGGUAAAGAAGCACCGGCUAACUACGUGCCAGCAGCCGCGGUGAUACGUAGGGUGCGAGCGUUGUCCGGAUUUAUUGGGCGUAAAGGGCUCGUAGGUGGUUGAUCGCGUCGGAAGUGUAAUCUUGGGGCUUGACCCUGAGCGUGCUUUCGAUACGGGUUGACUUGAGGAAGGUAGGGGAGAAUGGAAUUCCUGGUGGAGCGGUGGAAUGCGCAGAUAUCAGGAGGAACACCAGUGGCGAAGGCGGUUCUCUGGGCCUUUCCUGACGCUGAGGAGCGAAAGCGUGGGGAGCGAACAGGCUUAGAUACCCUGGUAGUCCAUGCUGUAAACGGUGGGUACUAGGUGUGGGGUCCAUUCCACGGGUUCCGUGCCGUAGCUAACGCUUUAAGUACCCCGCCUGGGGAGUACGGCCGCAAGGCUAAAACUCAAAGGAAUUGACGGGGCCCCGCACAAGCGGCGGAGCAUGCGGAUUAAUUCGAUGCAACGCGUAGAACCUUACCUGGGUUUGACAUGGAUCGGGAGUGCUCAGAGAUGGGUGUGCCUCUUUUGGGGUCGGUUCACAGGUGGUGCAUGCCUGUCGUCAGCUCGUGUCGUGAGAUGUUGGGUUAAGUCCCGCAACGAGCGCAACCCUUGUUCACUGUUGCCAGCACGUUAUGGUGGGGACUCAGUGGAGACCGCCGGGGUCAACUCGGAGGAAGGUGGGGAUGACGUCAAGUCCUCAUGCCCCUUAUGUCCAGGGCUUCACGCAUGCUACAAUGGCUGGUACAGAGAGUGGCGAGCCUGUGAGGGUGAGCGAAUCUCGGAAAGCCGGUCUCAGUUCGGAUUGGGGUCUGCAACUCGACCUCAUGAAGUCGGAGUCGCUAGUAAUCGCAGAUCAGCAACGCUGCGGUGAAUACGUUCCCGGGGCUUGUACACACCGCCCGUCAAGUCAUGAAAGUUGGUAACACCCGAAGCCGGUGGCCUAACCGUUGUGGGGGAGCCGUCGAAGGUGGGACUGGUGAUUAGGACUAA
RNAcentral lists this ribosomal RNA (1449 nucleotides) under uncultured organism. RNAcentral describes it as "16S ribosomal RNA". It matches the Rfam family "Bacterial small subunit ribosomal RNA". The record is from RNAcentral.